CACCGGCUCUCCGAGCUCGCGCACUCUGUGGGCGGAGCCCCCAAGUCCAGACGCGGGCAGUAGGAGCGAGGCACGUCAGGCGCUGGGUAGAUCUUUCGGCCUCGCUGGAAGGAGGGUACCGAGGUAGCUGGCCAGUCAAAGACUCCAUCCCUCUUGCUUCCAGUGGGCCACCCUCACACCCUGUCCGAAAAGUUGUCUCCGUGGCCUGGCCUUGGGAAGUCUCUCCUCAGCUUUACCUCAGUUACCUCAGUCUCCACCGGCAGGGACCGGCCUGGGGUCUAGAAGGGAAGGUAGUAAAUGGCAGAGUCAAAAUUGGAACCCACACUACGGACUACUACAUUCUACAGUCAGCUCGAAUUCCCCCCAUAUGGGAAAUAAGCUACUGGAGGUGAGGUAGAUGUUUGGAAACAGCCUAAAAGUAAGUAUUCAGUUAUAGUUUGUGGUAAAGUAUGUUCCUUUGAACACUCAUGGCACCUUAUUUACACUCUGAAGUCAUGAAUUUGGAAAAGGCAAUAACCCAGAAAAGAAAAACUACAAUGCUUUGGACUGCAGGGCUUUCAGGGGAUGGGCUUCUCUAGAACUGUGUUGUCUAAUACCUUAGCCACUAGCCACAUGUGGCUAAGUGAGCACUUCAAAUGUGGCUAGUCAAAUUGGGAUGUGUUAUAGGUAUAAGAUACAAACUGGAUUUUGAAGACUUUGUAUGAAAAAAAAAGUAAAAUAUUUUAAAAUACUGAUUGCAUGUUGAAAUGAUAUUUUAAAUAUAUUGGGGUAAAUAAAAUACAUUAAAAUUAAUAUGUUUCUUUUUACCUAAUUUUUAAUGUGACUACUAGCAGGUUUUACUUAGGAUGCUUACAUUAUUUCUAUUGGACAACACUGCUCCAGAAAUAUGAUAGUCCAGCCCAAAGGCAGUAGAUAGCAGUUAUUUGAAUGGAAAACUGAGAAAAAGACAACAUAGGAACACAAACAUGAUGAUGGAGUUCCCACUGUGGAGCAACGGGAUUGGCAGCCUCUUUGGAGCACUGGGUCACAGGUUUGAUCCCCAGCCCAGCACAGCGUAAAGAUCCAGUGUUGCUGCAGCUGUGGCAUAGGUCAAAACUGUGGCUCAAUCUAAUCCCUGGCCCAGGAACUCCAUAUGCCAGGGGUGGCCAAAACAAAAAACGAAGAAAGCAAAAAACACAAACUUGAGCCUGGGAUUCUGAAAAACUCAGCAGAGGGAAUCCCAUGGUAUGUGUACUUCUGGUCAAUCAAAAGAUCCAGCAGGCGUUCCCGUUGUGGCUCGGUGGUUAACGAACCCGACUAGUAACCAUGAGGUUGCAGGUUCAGUGGCUGUGGUGUAGGCCGGCGGCUACAGUUCUGAUUAUACCCUUAGCCUGGGAACCUCCAUAUGCUGUGGAUGCGGCCCUAAAAAAAUCAAAAAAAAAAAAAAAAAAAAAAAAAUCCAGCAAAUAAAACAAGGGUGAAAAUGGCAGUAAAAACAAGAUAGAAAACUCUCAAGUUCUGGUAGUAAAUUAGUAAAUGCUUGUAUUAUAGGAAGUGUGACUUGGAAUGCUUAGUCCUUGCUGGUAUGUCAGAUGCCAGGUGAGUAGCCAAAGGGAGAUGGUGCUUCCAGCAGCAAAUCAGGAGGGAUAUGGAGGGGUAGGAAGAGAGGGAAAAUACUAUUGUAAAUAGGCAACAUAAGCAGAAUUAAUUUGAGGUUGUUCUGCAUUUUUAAUUUGGUGUUUUUCAAAUUAUAAAAAAAAAAAAGAGAUUCCUGUUGUAGCAAGUGAAACAAUACAAUGCAAAGACAUACUAAAGUAUUAAUUUGUAAAAAUCUAAUUAUUAAUUCAAAGUAGUACCUCUGAGAAGUAUCCACAAGGUGGUUCUGAGUGAACUCAAGAGUAAAACUGGAAUUUUUAGCUUUGCUACUGUGUAUGAGAAAGCAGUAGACAAAGGAGACAGUAUGACAGCUGCUAAUCAGUGGGGCUCCAUAAAUCAGCAAAACCCAUGGAGAGGCCAAUGGAAUAUGAAAUAAUGAUGUAUCUCAGAAUUUAAGGAAAGCCAACCUACAGGGGAAAAGGUGGCAUGCUUUUUUGUAAAUAAAAUAAUCAUUCCUGAUUAAUCUAUUAGAACUCUUCAUAGGGGCUGUAUGUUUGCUAGGACUGCCAUAACAAAGUACCACAGACUGGAUGGCUUAAACAACAGAAAUUUAUUUCCUCAAAAUUUUGGAAGCUAGAAGUUUAAGAUCAAGAUGUCAACAGGGUUAGUUUCUUCUGAGGCUGCUUUCAUUGGCUUGUAGAUGUCUAUCUUCUCCCUGUAUAUUCACAUGGUCCUCCCUCUAUAUGUCACUUCAGGUUGUAUAUAAAAAAUUCUUUUUGGAGUUCCUGUUGUGGCUUAGUGGGUUAAGGAUCCAUUGUUGUCUCUGUGACAAUGCAUAGCCUUGCUUAGUGGGUUAAGGACCUGGUGUUGCCACAGCUGUGGUGAGGGUUACAGAUGUAGCUUGGAGCUGGUGUUGCCAUGGUUGUGUCACAGGCCAGCAGCUGAAGCUCAGAUAAACCCCUGGCUCAGGAACAAUCAUGUGCUGCAGGGGCAGCCAUUACAAAAAAAAAAAAAAAAUGUUGGGAGUUCCCGUUGUGGCUCAGCAGUAAUGAACACAGGUAAUAUCCAUGAGGAUUUGGGUUCAAUCCCUGGCCUCACUCUGGAUUAAGGAUCCACCAUUGCCCUGAGCUGUGGCGUAGGUUGCAGACACGUCUCAGAUCCCUCAUUGCUGUGGCUGUGGUGUAGGCCGGCAGCUGCAGCUCAGAUUUGACUCCUAGCCUGGGAACUUCCAUAUGCCACAACAGUGGCCCUAAAACAAAAAACAAAAAAAAUUUUUUUUUUGUAAGUGAAUUUCAUGUGAAUAAGUCAAAGGUAUUUAUUUAUAGAUGAGUGUUUCUGAAUGGGGGUGGAGGGUGGUGAGAAAACUGCCUUUCAGGGAUGAGUAUAUCAAAACUAAGGGUAGGCAUGGAGGCACUGCUUUUCUUUUUCUUUUUUUUUAGUUUUAUCGAAGUAUAAUUUGUUGUUGUUGUUGUUGUUGUUGUUAUUGUUGCUAUUUCUUGGGCCGCUCCCGCGGCAUAUGGAGGUUCCCAGGCUAGGGGUUGAAUCGGAACUGUAGCCAUCGGCCUACGCCAGAGCCACAGCAACGCGGGAUCCGAGCCGCGUCUGCAACCUACACCACAGCUCACGGCAACGCCGGAUCGUUAACCCACUGAGCAAGGGCAGGGACCGAACCCGCAACCUCAUGGUUCCUAGUCGGAUUCGUUAACCACUGCACCACGACUGGAACUCCCGAAGUAUAAUUUUUUAAAAAAAUUUUAUAGAAGAAUAGUUGAUACUUUUUCAAGUUAUGUUUUGUGAAACUUUGAUUUUCUGUCACCACCUCCACUGUACCCUGAGAGUCACUGCUGUUAUGUACCACUGAUUGAAGAGAGUAUGUUUAAAAUGUCAUUUGAGGAGUUCCCGUCGUGGCGCAGUGGUUAACGAAUCCGACUAGGAACCAUGAGGUUGCGGGUUCGGUCCCUGCCCUUGCUCAGUGGGUUAACGAUCCGGCGUUGCUGUGAGCUGUGGUGUAGGUUGCAGACGCGGCUCGGAUCCUGCGUUGCUGUGCCUCUGGCAUAGGCCGGUG
RNAcentral lists this long non-coding RNA (3640 nucleotides) under Sus scrofa (pig). Its description in RNAcentral is "lncRNA (ENSSSCG00065056134.1)". Lineage: Eukaryota; Metazoa; Chordata; Mammalia; Artiodactyla; Suidae. The record is from RNAcentral.